GUGCAUAGCAAUUAAUCUCUUAUACACUUACAUAUAAGUUAAAUAUAAGUUAUUGAUAUUUAUAAAUCAGUAUUUUUUUUUAUAAAAAAAUAUAUUAAAAAGAUAAAUAAAUAUUUUAAUAUGAAGACCAUUAGAAUAUAAUUUUUUUAAUAAAAAAAUAUUGAUUUAUGGAUGUCAAUAACAUUUUUAGAUUUUGUGCAUUGGCAUAAAAUUUGAUUUGGUAUUUAUAAAUUGCAAAUAAAUAAUUCAACUUGCUAUUUUAGGGUUCAGUCUUUAACGUCAAUAGUUAUUUAUAUUUUUACAUUAUUAUAAAAAAUUUAUUGAUUUUCAUAAAAUUAACUAUAUUUUUAGAAUAUAUAUUUUUAUUAUAUUAAUUUUAAUGAGAAUUGUUUUUAAUUUUUAUAUUUUAUGCAUAUGAUGUGGACGAAUGUAGAGUGGAAAUAAUUGAUAUAACUUUAAUUUUAACUUUAAUUCGAACAAAUGAUAUGUGUGAAAUGAGAAAAACUGACUUAUAUUGUGAGUGGGGCUUAUGCCUUCCAUCUUUCUUUAAUAUGUCGAUUUUUUUCAUUUCACACACAUUUCUUUUAUUAGGAUUAAAAUUUUGUUAUUAUUAUAUUAAUUUUUUCACUCGAAAACUUUUCUUUCCAUAUAUAUUUUAAAUUAAAAUAUUAUAUUUAAAUAUUAUAUUUAUACAAAUUUAUAUAACAAAAUACAAUUUAUUAUAAAUAAGUUAAAUUAUAUUAAAAUUAAAUUUUUUAUUUACAUGAUAUACAACUAAAAAUUUUAAUAUAUAAUUAAAUAUUAAAUAUUUGAAUAUCUCGAAAUGACUGCCUCCAUCCCUUGUCAAAGUUUGAAAUUUCCACCAAAAUUUAGGUGGUUUUAUAUGAAUUCAGGUUUUUUUAAAACGUUGCUAUAAUGUCUAACUCUUGUGAAUUAACGAUUGCAUAAUUUUAUUUAUUUGUUUAUAUUUAAAAACAUUUAAAUUACUUGUUCUAAAUUUAUAACUAAUAUCAAGCCAUAAAAAUAAGUUUAGUGGUGAAGGACAUGAGUAGUGUGUAUGAAGUUUUAAAUAAUACAAAUAGUGUUAAAAAGAAGUUUCAGACUAAAAGUUUAGAGAAUUUCUUUAUCUACCUCCUUAGAGCAUCUCCAAUGGUAGUAUUUUCCUUUGAGUUCUUCAGCUGGACAUCAAUAUAAUAAUUAAAUAUUAAAACAAUUUACCAUAUCAUAGUACAGUUGCAUUGCAAUGUAACUAGUAAAAAAUUGUGGUACCAAAUCAAAUUAAUUUAUCAGGUAAAAUUGUGGGACCCAUUAGAAUUACACCAAUAAAAUAAAAAUUAAAUAAAUUAUUUUGAGAUGAUAUGGCUGGUGGGACCCACAAAGAACUCAAAAAUGGGUUGUACCAUUGGAGAUGGUCUUACCUUCUUAGAAAUCCGCACGAAUUUCCAAAAAUGCUUCUAUAUUUCGGAAGUGUAUCUUCGAAAUCACCUUUUUCUAAAAAAAAAAGGUGAUUUCGGAUGUGCACUUCCGAAAAUACCUUAUUUUUUAAAAAAAAUGUGUCUUCGAAAAUGCAUAUCCGAAAACACCUAUUUCGAAGAUGCACUUCCGAAAUAUUGGGAGGAUCAAGACGAAGCCACAGAUAAAACCGUAGCUGAAGAUUGAAGAAUAGAUCUGUCAAUAGAAUGAACACUCUGACUCUUGUGAUGAACAUUAUGCAUGUAAGAUGUAGAUGAAGAAAAACUAGUAGUAGUAGUAGUUGAUGAAGAUGAAGGAUUGUGACUAGUUUGCCAAAAAAGGCAUUCUACAAAAGUUCCAAACUUUUCCACCAGAUCCUAGCUUUUCACUCUCCACCUCCAUUUCUCGACGGAAUCUCACCGGAGAAAGAAUCUUCCAGCAAAUGGGUCACUGAAUUGGGUGAAAAAUUUUAAGCUUUUUGAUAAAUAAAGUGAUGAGUCUUUUGAAGCUAAAAUUGUGUGUUUGAGUUUCUAAAUUGUGUGUUUGAGUUUCGGAGAUGCAUUUUUGAAAACAUCUAAAAAUAAGUAUUUUCGGAAAUGCAUAUCCGAAUUUUGAGAAAAUAUGAAAAAGUGUGAUUUCGGAGAUGCAUCUUCGAAGUCAGAGGUAUUAUGGGGUUUUCAGCAGGGGUUCUCACCCCAGGAGAGUCUAUAAAAAAUUGUCAAAGUUUAUUGUCUAUUCUACCAGGCCCGGCCCAAGAGCAAGGCAAGCAAGGCCAUUGCCUUGGGCCUCAUUUUUCUUAGGAUAUUAGUUAGGCCUCAUAAUAAAUUAAGACAAUUUCUUUAUCUAUCCCCAACCUUCUUAGAAACCCGCGCGAAAUUUCUAAAAUGGCCCUAUAUUUCGAAAGUGCAUCUCCAAAAUCAUCUAUUUUUCUGAAAAAAAUUUGAUUUCGGAAGUGCACUUCCGAAAACACCUUAUUUUUUAGAAAAAAAAAGGUGUUUUCGGAAAUGCACUUCCGAAAUCAACUUUUUUUCAGAAAAAAGGUGUUUUCAGAAAUACAUCUCCGAAAUCACCUUUUUUCAGAAAAAAAGUGAUUUCGGAGAUGCACUUCCGAAAUAUUGUCUAAUGCAGAAAAUAAAAAACAAAUGAACAAAGCUUCGAUUUAUCAUAAAUAAUCGAAAGUACAAAGAUAAAUCAACAUGAAAUUAAAGUUACAUAUUGUUAAACAUGGGUAGUUGAGGAUGUGUCAACAUUUUGAUAACGUCGGCUCGCGAUCAUUGAAGUUUCGCAUCCAACUCGAUCAGACUCAUCGAAGAAAAUCAGUCGAAAGUUGUCCACAAAACCUCUAAAUAUUUGUCGUUCUUGACUUCAAAUGGGGUGAAUUGGACACAUCCAUUCUGUUUUGCAUAAGUUAUUGUUGGGCUGCAAGUAAUUCUCCCCUAGCAGAUUCAAUCUGAUUCCUGAUCCCAUACAUAAGCUUCAUCAAGGCUUUGAUAGCUGGUUGGAGUCUGUAUAAUUUCUUCCACACCAUAUACAUGGGAUUAUCCCUCAUCUCCUGAUUCCUGUUCUUCUCAACAUCUUUUAGAAAACCCUCUAUGUCAGUUACAACAUUAGGAAAUUUAAAGUAGUGCUUAUGCUGAUGAUCUUAAUCCUUUUGCUGUAGCUUUAGUAAGCAGUGGUCUGAUAUACUAGGUUCCAUGAUUUCCAGCACAGUAUCAAUAUUUGCUUGAUGCCACUCCAAGUUACUAAUCACUCCAUCAAUUCGAGAGUAGAUAAUGCCUAAGCUAUGCUUGUUGUUCCAAGUAUGGUAAUCACCCUUACUCUCUUUCUCAAACAGCCUAACUCUAUCCAUCAUAUUAAUAAGAUCUGAGUAUUCACUUUCUUUAACCUUAUUUCCACCUAGCCUGUCAUUCACAGAUAGAACAUUAUUAUAAUCACCAAUAACAAACCAUGGGCCUUUAGUUCUCUUGUGGAUAUCCUCUAAAUCAUCCCACAACUUUCUUCUCAGAUUCAAAGUAUUUUGGGCAUAGACAGAAGUGCACCAUUGCUGCAUAGUUCCAUUCAGGUUGUAGAUGCCCACAUGGAUACACUGAUCCGUACUAAGGACCUUCUCUACCCUCACUCUGCUACUAUCCCACAUGAGCCAAAUUCUACCAUUGUAGUGCUUAUCAUAGUUAUCAAUAACAGACCAUUGCUGGCCAAUUUGGUUCCUAAUGUGAGAAGCCUUAUUCAACUUAACGGGAGUUUCUAGAAAAAUACUAAUAACAGGGUUUAGGUGUUUGAGACGGGUUACAAUCUCCCUACAUUUCCUUGCAUUAUUUAACCUUUUGAUAUUCCAGGACACAAUCAUGGGACAGGUAUUGGUCCCCCUCCCCCAGUUUCCACUCUACCAUCAAGAGCCUCAAAUCCAUUUUGGCAAGGCACCUCAUAAAUCUUCUCAGGGCCAGGCAGUACAAUCUUUCCUUUAGCUCUCUUGUUUUUAGUCACUUCAGUCCAAGAGAUUGAAGCUUGUUCUAUAGGGUUGUUGGGAGUACAUACCUUAGGUAAUGGUGCUUUCAUUAAAGAUUAAACUAUUAAAAUUAAUAUAUUUUAUUUUAUACUAUUUAGAAAUUUAAUUAAAGAAAUAUUUCAAAAUGUUUAUUUACACCCCUAAAAAAUUUAAUAAUAACAUUUCAAAAUGUUUAUUUAAUAUUUUCAAUAAAUAAAUAUGAAAAUCAAUUGAAGUGAGUAAGGUGACUUGCCAAUAAAGGGAAUUGAAUGUUUAAAGUUUUUACUUAGCUAUUGAAAAUUUAUUUGCUUGUAUGAGAUUGUUGAGAAUGAAAUAGAUAUUUCAAUUGAUUGGGGUUAUCAUUGCAACCGAACUUAAUAUUUGUGCUAUCAUGGUUAUAACCACUUCUAACUUGUUUUUAUUAUAUUAUAUUAUUUAAAAUUGGCUAAAUGUUUUUUUGUAAUUCCUUAUGUUUAAGUUUUGUAAUGAUUUUAUCAUUUUCAUUUUUUUUUCUUUCAAAAUAAUCUUUUAAAGUCAUAAAGAGUUCAUAAUCUAUCAUAUAAGAAAAGUCUACCAUUUGGGACUUUCUUAGGCUAUCCACAUCAGCAACUCUUCUAUGGUUGAUCCACAUCAGCUUUGGUGGUUACUACAGAAUUUUUGAUCCUUCAACUGCCUGGUGGGCUGCGGCAGUUAUUGCUGUGGGAGUUUCACCCUUCCAGCUUCUCUUGAUCGUUACGCAUUCUUCACUUCUCUGCCUAUAUUGACUUCCCAUGUUCAAUGUUGGUUACCAAAUUGAAAGAGGUUUCAAUACUCUCCAUAUUCCAUUCAAUUGCACGAAGUUUACAAACAAACCAUGGAGUUUAUGGCUUAUGGCUCCGAUCGAUUCUCUCGCAUCUUCUCCGCUUUAACGUCCCAUAAUUUCCCCAAAACCGUUCUUCCUCUUCUUCCAAAACCGUUCGUUUUCCCUUUCACCCCCGGGUCUCUCAAUCUUUCAGAACGAAUAUCUUUCCUCUCUCUCCAACCAAGGCGCCUCCACCCUCCUUCUCCAACGAACUGCUCGCUUUUUCUGUUCUGAUUCAUCUCCAAAGUUUCGAUUUUGCUCGCCUUUGAAGCUAUGGUUACUGAUCUCAAACUCUCGGUGGAUCUCUUGGAAAAAGAAAGAGACUUUUUCUUUUCAAAACUACGGGAUAUAGAGAUUCUCUGUCAUGCAUCAGAGCUGGAUAAUGAACCUUUUCUGUUUUGUCUUCUCCUACUGUGCAGCAGAGUUUGCGUGGUGCGUCAGUUCAGCCGCAGCAGAUUGCUGGGAAAUAGAGGAGAUGUUGGUCGUCGGAAUUGCAUCGGAGAUUUGUUAAUGGUUGCACAAGUUUGGAGAUUCUCAAGGUUAUAAUUUGAAAUCAUUAUGAUUUGAACUUUAUGUUUUUGUGAUAGAGCUUCAGUGGUAAUUGACAUCAGCAGUGACCUUGAACGGCCAUAACAAAUGUGAAUGUAUUUCCAAGAUAUUAAUUUUAAAUGUGUAUAUUUUGACUAUUUUAAUUUUGGUGAGAAAGAAACUGAGGAAGGAGAAAUAAAAAAAUUCACUACGGAAGCAUUAGACGCCGCCACCACUGAUGUUGCUAGGAUACAACAUCUUUGGAGGAAAAGAAGGUUGGAGUGAAGGGGCUUGGGAAGAAAAAACGGGAAGGAAGAUCUAUCUAUGGUUUUUACAUUGGCGAGUACAAAACGGGUCAUAUUCUUGGCAUUUGGUAGUUCAACAUGUGUUGGACCAAUGUUUUACACCAUAAGCUUUGCUUAUUAAAAUGCGUUGAAUUCAGGAUUAUCAUAUCCAGUUGCUUCAGCUUCAGUUAAAGUACUUCAACGCUUAUGGAGGAACGACUUGGCAGCACUAAAGGUUUGGAAUUCACAAGAGUUGGCCCUUCGAACCACCAGCUGUGAGAUGUCGUCGAUUCAGUCUUUCUUUGAUUCCUCUUUCAUAAUUUAUAUUGGUCAGCUUAUUGAAGGGAGUUUAUUUCGGUUGGGGUUGCAUUUGAGGAAAUAGGAGAGGCCACCAAGUGUUUGUUAUAAUGAUUGAAGAUUGUUGGAGAAUGGAAGAGAAUUGAUUCAAGAUUGAAGCUGUUAUGGGAUUGAAAUCGGCGAUGGUGAUUAUGGACAGAAAUGUGGAGAUAUGGAGGAGGAUUCGAGAAUCGCUGUGCUUCAUGAUAAGUUCAAUGAGCAUGGAAAUCUUCUUGCUGUUAGUACGGCCGAUAGCGGUGUUAAAACUCUCGCUAAUGCAGAGGGUUUAAAUCCAUGAGGCGCGUUGAUGCUACUGAUCCAAAGCUUUGCAUCUACUUUAAUUCGGCAGCAUGAUUAAGGCUUCUCAAAUUCUUCGCAUCAUUACAUUUUAUUCUACACAACUUCCCGGUCCAAAAUACCAUUGUCGUGAGUGAGUGUUAAGUGGCAGAAGGAACUUUUCAUAGAUGUAGAGAUUGAUACCAGCCAGCCCUCUUAUGUUUUUAAGGUCCAAUUGUUUGAUCUAACCGGAGUGUCUCCUGAAAGACAAAAGAUUAUGGUAAAGGGCGAUCUUUUAAAGAUUAAUCUCGGGAUAUAGUCGUUGUCUUUUGUGCAAAAGGAUGCCGCAAGGAGAAAUAUUCUGUUGACAACGUUGAAUUACAGUAUAUCGAGUGCUUUUGAUGUUCUGCAGUCAUUGGAGACGCAUGGUGGGAAUAGGAAUAUGCUGAAGCAGAAGCAGCAUGAUGAGUUUGUUCAUAGAUGGAAUCUUUUCAAGUACAAGCUUAACAAGGUCGUGUCUGCGAUGUCGCAUCUGGAUUAUGAGUUGGCUCUGUUUUACGUGAGGUCUUCUGAUCAUGAUCUUUAUGCCAUUCACUCCAUUGUGUAUCAUGCCUCUCAAGAAAUUGAGGCACCACUCACAUGCUUUAAGGAUUCUCCCUUUCCCUAGGUUUCGGUCUCAACUUCUGUCGCGGCUUUCAUUGCUCUCUCUUAUGUUUAUGCAAAACGACAUAAAAUUUUUAGAAACAAAAGCAAGCAAUUUUGAUGCUCUCACAAUAGGACAGAUGUUUGUAUGAUUUUAAGAAAGCACAACAUGUAUCAUUAUAUAAGAGGUACGCUUACAGGCUUGAUUUUAAAUUGCUGGAAUGAUCAACUCCUGUUCAGCAUGUUGUUUUCCUAUUAUGGUUGUUCUUUGUAAUCAGUUUUUUUAGGAAUUUAUUACCUUUUCAUUAUGAUGACUUAAGUUUAUCAUUUCUAUGUGGAUGAGUAUUAUUAGAAGAACACAAGUAGAUUGGAAUUCAUAGCUUUAAAUCUGUAUACACAUAGGAGAAAUAGAAAAGAAAAUGAUAGACAAUUGGAUCUUAAAGCAGUCAAAGACUGCUGAAAUCUGUAUACACAUAGGAGAAAUAGAAAAGAAAAUGUUUAUCAUAUACCUUGCGAAUCAUUAUUAUGCAAAUCAUUAUAACUCCCCAUCCACAUGCAUGCAUUAUUAUGAUAUAAGGCAAUAAAAUGAUAUAAUCUUAAUAGCACCAACAUAGCGUCAAGCCAAAAAGUCAUUUUAGCAUCCUUAUAAGCAUUCAUGCAUAUAUAGUUACAUCCAUACAUAUAUAGUUACAUCCAUACAUUUCAGAGAAUAAGAAUGAGUUGAGUUAUUUUCAUUAGCUCAUUUAUAACCCUAAUAUAUUAGUUAAAUCUUUUUAUGUGAUAAUGAAUUUUUAUUAGAAAUGCAGGUAAAUGGGUAUGAGUAUGAGUACUUAAUAUCUAUAGGGCACAGGAACAUGCUCAAAUGUUGGUGCACACGUAGAUAUGGACAUGGAGGUUACCAUCUAAGGCCCAAACAAUAAUAUUAUUCCAUUAACUUACAUACUUUAACCAACCUUCGGGCCCAAACUAUUAAUAAAAUAUUUUUAUAUUUCA
Vicia villosa (hairy vetch) is the source of this 7837-nucleotide long non-coding RNA. RefSeq lists it as uncharacterized. The record is from RefSeq and is a predicted model, not a curated record. Lineage: Eukaryota; Viridiplantae; Streptophyta; Magnoliopsida; Fabales; Fabaceae. The transcript is spliced from 15 exons.